RNAcentral lists this small RNA (319 nucleotides) under Histoplasma capsulatum var. duboisii H88. RNAcentral describes it as "Histoplasma capsulatum H88 hypothetical RNA". Lineage: Eukaryota; Fungi; Ascomycota; Eurotiomycetes; Onygenales; Ajellomycetaceae. The record is from RNAcentral.
CAGCAAAUCAGAACAAACACAAUUGUUAGCCAGCGGGCUAUUCAGCCUUUUACCAUCUAGGCCCCAAACGACGCUCAACGCACUGGUACAGGUUGGUAAAAUUACCGCACCUUCUAAACCAGCAGAUACGGGACAUCAAUAUAUACAUAUUCCCAUCCAGCCCAGGAUGGCAAAGGCCAAAGGGUGAUGCAGGCAGGCUUGUCCCAGCACUGCCCGAUGCGUGGCGUUCCCUGGACGAGCAGCUGUGCUGCCAACCGAAGCCUUCUGGAAAAGCUUAGCCGCCUAAACAGAAGAAACGAACGCACUGUACCGGAGGACC